This is a long non-coding RNA of Dendroctonus ponderosae (mountain pine beetle), 844 nucleotides long. RefSeq lists it as uncharacterized. The transcript is spliced from 2 exons. The record is from RefSeq and is a predicted model, not a curated record. Lineage: Eukaryota; Metazoa; Arthropoda; Insecta; Coleoptera; Curculionidae.
UUGCGUCCGCUCCUUUUCGAUUCGCCAGAUAUGUGAUCUAUUCGCCUUUAUUUAUGUUAUAUGGAUUAUUACCACAAUGCUGGGUAGAAGAUUGUUAUUUUUAUUUUAUACUGCGUGAAUUGUCGGCUUGAUUUCAACAUAUUUCUUUCUGGUUUAAACGGCACUAUUUAUUAUAAAACAAAACUAUAAAUUAGCCGAAUUUGGCUGUCGGUAUUAAUUAUUGAUUUAGCUCAUUUUCAGCAAAAAUGUUUUCAAUCCAGUCGUUCUUCUAACCAAGUUUUCAAAACCCGUCAUAUUUCCUGUCAUGUCAAUUUAGUCGAUGGAUCGGAGAGACGGUGUGUUCUUUGCUCCGUUCAGUUUUUGAAAAAUCUCCGGAUUUUUUAAUUUUUGCGCGAAAAAUUGAACAAUUUCUCAAAAAGGAACGUUUUCUUCACAGUUUAGUGUGAUUUUCCCGUUUCCGACUGUGAUUUUACCAAAGAAAUCGCGACUUUUCAAAAUGGGGACUUCUGACGUUUUCUGUCAAGUGGGACUGAAGUCAGUCGCCUCCUGAUGGCUAAAAUUAUAACUAAAAGUUAUAGUAGUAAUUUAACCCUUGUUGACAUUGAUGUUUACAUCUGAUUGUAAUUUGUUUUGUUCUAAUCAAAUUUUACAAGCCUCUAAAGAAAUAGGAACAUAUCGAAAAAGGUCGCCACCACCGGUAGUCGAACUAGCGAAUAGCAGUAACUACGGAAUCUACAUUUGGAGUUUCAAGAGAAUAUUGAGGUUUUUCCAGACUUUCUGCAAUCUAUGGACUACUUGGAUUCAAGAUUGAACCGCUUACUUCUAUUGAAAGGCACAAAAUGUU